GCGGAUAUGGUGAAAUUGGUAGACACGCCAGACUUAGGAUCUGGUACCGCAAGGUAUGGAAGUUCGAGUCUUCUUAUCCGCACCA
This 85-nucleotide transfer RNA is filed under the name Sulfurospirillum halorespirans DSM 13726. RNAcentral describes it as "tRNA-Leu". It matches the Rfam family "tRNA". From Rfam's summary of the family: Transfer RNA (tRNA) molecules are approximately 80 nucleotides in length. Their secondary structure includes four short double-helical elements and three loops (D, anti-codon, and T loops). Further hydrogen bonds mediate the characteristic L-shaped molecular structure. tRNAs have two regions of fundamental functional importance: the anti-codon, which is responsible for specific mRNA codon recognition, and the 3' end, to which the tRNAs corresponding amino acid is attached (by aminoacyl-tRNA synthetases). tRNAs cope with the degeneracy of the genetic code in two manners: having more than one tRNA (with a specific anti-codon) for a particular amino acid; and 'wobble' base-pairing, i.e. permitting non-standard base-pairing at the 3rd anti-codon position. Lineage: Bacteria; Pseudomonadati; Campylobacterota; Epsilonproteobacteria; Campylobacterales; Sulfurospirillaceae. RNAcentral also lists the same sequence under 1 other name. The record is from RNAcentral.